This 272-nucleotide unclassified non-coding RNA is filed under the name Hevea brasiliensis (rubber tree). The record is from RNAcentral. Lineage: Eukaryota; Viridiplantae; Streptophyta; Magnoliopsida; Malpighiales; Euphorbiaceae.
AUGGUUGCUGCUGGAGCCCUUGUACGACAGAAUACAAGAAUCCCAUGUGGGGAGGUAUGGGGAGGAAAUCCAGCCAAGUUCCUGAGGAAGCUGACAGAGGAAGAGAUUGCUUUCAUAGCCCAGUCAGCUACAAACUAUAGCAACUUAGCCCAGGUGCAUGCUACCGAGAAUGCAAAGCCUCUGGACAUGAUCGAGUUUGAGAAGGUUCUGCGAAAGAAGUAUGCUCGCAGGGACGAGGAGUAUGAUUCCAUGCUUGGAGUGGUCCGGGAAGU